Molecule: non-coding RNA, 1329 nt
Organism: Oryctolagus cuniculus (rabbit)
Lineage: Eukaryota; Metazoa; Chordata; Mammalia; Lagomorpha; Leporidae
Source: RefSeq, a predicted model, not a curated record
CUGGGGCACAGUCACAUCCGUUCUUUGACAUACUAUUGACUGGCUGCUUUCUUGCUACAUCUGCAGCAUUGAAUAAUUGUCACAAAGACCACCUAGCUUGAAAGUCUAAAAUAUUUACUAUCCAGCCCUUUAGGAAUAAGUCUGCCAAUCGCUCUUCUAGAUCCAAGUCCACAUGCCAAAUACUGGGAUGGUAAUGCUUGGCCUUAGGUAGGGAACCAGACACAGAAGAGCACGCACAGUUGAAAUCGUCAGUUGAUUCUGUUGGGGUUCCACUGCUCUUCCCCAAGACCAGGGCCCAUCAGUUGUUGAUGCUGCUUUGUUCAUUUCUUACCAGCCACACUGGAGAAUUAGGAGGAGGUGUGACCAGAGUCAAAACACCUGCUUCUUUCUUACCUGUGAUGAGAUGCCAAUACCUGUCAAUCAUCUCAUUUGUGAACCUCUGCUUUGGCCUUCAGUGGCUUCCACUUGGGCCUUGCUCUUACAAGUUCAAGUCCUGUGUUUGUUAUCUACCAGAAGCUUCCUGUUUGGGUAGGAGAGCAACGAAGAGGCUCAUCUGAAGGGACCAGUGCUAGCCACAGGUGGCUACUUAAAUUAAAAUCCAAAGUGAAUUAGAUUGAGAUGCUGAACCAGUGGGGCUGCCUGAUCUUGGACUUGAACAUCCAAACCCGUGAGCCAAAGUGGAACUCCUUCCUUCAUAUGUGGCUUGUCUCUGGUAUUCUGCUGUAGUAAUAUAAACUAAUGCAAUCCACAUUUCCGACUUGAAACCUCUCUAAGGCUCAUAGGGGGCAGGAGUGAAGUAAAGGCAAUGAGAGGCUAUUUUAAGCAAAAUUGGUCAAACAUGGGCCCCUCGGAUGACACCUGGUCUGCUGUUCUGGGUCUGUCCAGGUAUACUUCCCACUGAUCACUGCCAAGUUCUCGGCUUUUGAGGAGGAAAUGGGAAUUCAGGAACAACUGAUUUGUGCGAUUUGAUCAGUAUUUUUAUUCUGAAAAGUAUAGCCAACAGCACCCUAGGAAAAACUUGGGGCUACCCUGGGUAAAGCAGUUGAAUUUUGUUUUUAAAGUUUAGAAAUGUUAGUGGUUAGGUCCCUUCUCCAGUCUUGGGUGGCAUUGGCAUGCAAAGAAAUUCAAAGACUUUGUAGGAAAAUGGAAUCGGAAGAUGUUUAUUUCGGUGCAAAACAUUUUGAAAUCCACGCGCAGUUUUUUAUGAUGCUCAUUUCCCCCGGACUUUUGGAAGAUCCUUUAUCCAACGACGCAGGCUUGGGGUGGGGGAUGGGAGCCUUCUUUUCAGGGUCUGGGGCUCAGCCAACCUCCAACUGAGGACUGAGGAGG